This 251-nucleotide ribosomal RNA is filed under the name uncultured bacterium. RNAcentral describes it as "partial 16S ribosomal RNA". It matches the Rfam family "Bacterial small subunit ribosomal RNA", at positions 524 to 776 of the family's 1533-position model. The record is from RNAcentral.
GACGGGGGGGGCAAGUGUUCUUCGGAAUGACUGGGCGUAAAGGGCACGUAGGCGGUGAAUCGGGUUGAAAGUGAAAGUCGCCAAAAACUGGCGGAAUGCUCUCGAAACCAAUGAACUUGGGUGAGACAGAGGAGAGUGGAAUUUCGUGUGUAGGGGUGAAAUCCGGAGAUAUACGAAGGAACGCCAAAAGCGAAGGCAGCUCUCUGGGCAGUAACUGACGCUGAGGAGCGAAAGCAUGGGGAGCGAACAGG